GACGCAUGUUAACACCGACAAAACAACAGAAAUGCCGAUCUGUAGCUCUUCUUCAUCAUCUUCUUCCUCUAGCUCCGCAAAAUCAUGGAUCCUUCACGGCUUAGCCGUCGGAGCAGCAGCAGCAGCCGUAGCUCUCGGCGCUCACGCUUACCUUAGCCGAUCCGGCAAGUUUCGGAGCCGGGUCAUAGGUAUCAUACCCGCUCGUUUUGCUUCUACUCGGUUUCAAGGGAAACCGCUCGUUCAGAUUCUCGGCAAGCCUAUGAUCCAGAGAACAUGGGAAAGGGCAAAGCUUGCUGAGACAUUGGAUCAAGUUGUUGUGGCAACAGAUGAUGAAAAGAUAGCUGAGUGCUGUCGUGGUUUUGGCGCUGAAGUGAUAAUGACUUCUGAAUCAUGUAGAAACGGAACCGAGCGUUGUAAUGAAGCUCUUCAAAAGCUUGAUAAGAAGUAUGACAUUGUUGUUAAUAUACAAGGAGAUGAACCUCUUAUUGAACCUGAAAUAAUAGAUGGCAUCGUCAAAGCCCUACAGUCUGCACCAGAUGCGGUCUUUAGCACUGCUGUGACAUCUUUGAAACCUGAGGAUGCAUUUGAUCCAAAUCGUGUUAAAUGUGUGGUAGACAAUCGUGGUUAUGCAAUAUAUUUUUCACGAGGGCUCAUCCCUUAUAACAAGUUAGGCAAGGUUAAUCCUCAGUUUCCUUACUUGCUGCACCUCGGGAUCCAGAGUUAUGAUACGAAGUUCCUGAAAAUAUAUCCAGAGCUGACACCAACACCGUUGCAACUAGAAGAAGAUCUUGAGCAGCUAAAAGUCCUUGAAAAUGGAUACAAAAUGAAGGUGAUAAA
This 837-nucleotide unclassified non-coding RNA is filed under the name Hevea brasiliensis (rubber tree). The record is from RNAcentral. Lineage: Eukaryota; Viridiplantae; Streptophyta; Magnoliopsida; Malpighiales; Euphorbiaceae.